AUAGGUUAAUGAGGCGAACCGGGGGAACUGAAACAUCUAAGUACCCCGAGGAAAAGAAAUCAACCGAGAUUCCCCCAGUAGCGGCGAGCGAACGGGGAGGAGCCCAGAGCCUGAAUCAGCAUGUGUGUUAGUGGAAGCGUCUGGAAAGGCGCGCGAUACAGGGUGACAGCCCCGUACACAAAAGCGCAUGUGCUGUGAGCUCGAUGAGUAGGGCGGGACACGUGGUAUCCUGUCUGAAUAUGGGGGGACCAUCCUCCAAGGCUAAAUACUCCUGACUGACCGAUAGUGAACCAGUACCGUGAGGGAAAGGCGAAAAGAACCCCGGCGAGGGGAGUGAAAAAGAACCUGAAACCGUGUACGUACAAGCAGUGGGAGCACCCUUUGGGUGUGACUGCGUACCUUUUGUAUAAUGGGUCAGCGACUUAUAUUCUGUAGCAAGGUUAACCGAAUAGGGGAGC
Molecule: ribosomal RNA, 458 nt
Filed under: Salmonella enterica
Lineage: Bacteria; Pseudomonadati; Pseudomonadota; Gammaproteobacteria; Enterobacterales; Enterobacteriaceae
Description: partial 23S ribosomal RNA
Rfam family: Bacterial large subunit ribosomal RNA
Source: RNAcentral